AUAAAUUCCUCCAUUAUGGCUAAGAUCGAAAUGUAAUAUCUGUUCCUAUCAGCUUAACAUCUUAUACAUCCUCCAUCGGGACACAACAAAUGUUAAAGUGAUCUUUGAAAUCAGACGGAGAGUUCAGCGGCUUGAUCCACCCCUGUCGCGGGUCUGUCUAAUAAAAUCAAAAAUAAGGCUGGUCUCCAUCACU
This 193-nucleotide small nuclear RNA is filed under the name Glossina brevipalpis. Its description in RNAcentral is "U2 spliceosomal RNA". It matches the Rfam family "U2 spliceosomal RNA". From Rfam's summary of the family: U2 is a small nuclear RNA (snRNA) component of the spliceosome (involved in pre-mRNA splicing). Complementary binding between U2 snRNA (in an area lying towards the 5' end but 3' to hairpin I) and the branchpoint sequence (BPS) of the intron results the bulging out of an unpaired adenosine, on the BPS, which initiates a nucleophilic attack at the intronic 5' splice site, thus starting the first of two transesterification reactions that mediate splicing. Lineage: Eukaryota; Metazoa; Arthropoda; Insecta; Diptera; Glossinidae. The record is from RNAcentral.